UACGGGGGGGGGCAAGCGUUGUUCGGAAUUAUUGGGCGUAAAGAGCUCGUAGGCGGCUUGUCGCGUCGACUGUGAAAACCCGCGGCUCAACCGCGGGCCUGCAGCCGAUACGGGCAGGCUAGAGUUCGGUAGGGGAGACUGGAAUUCCGUGGUGUAGCGGUGAAAUGCGCAGAUAUCAGGAGGAACACCGGUGGCGAAGGCGGG
Molecule: ribosomal RNA, 204 nt
Filed under: uncultured bacterium
Lineage: Bacteria
Description: partial 16S ribosomal RNA
Rfam family: Bacterial small subunit ribosomal RNA
Source: RNAcentral